GGAGAGGUGGCCGAGCGGUCGAAGGUGCUCGCCUGGAAAGCGGGUGUACGGCAACGUACCGAGGGUUCGAAUCCCUCCCUCUCCGCCA
Molecule: transfer RNA, 88 nt
Filed under: Gammaproteobacteria bacterium
Lineage: Bacteria; Pseudomonadati; Pseudomonadota; Gammaproteobacteria
Also listed under: 1 other name
Description: tRNA-Ser
Rfam family: tRNA
About the family: Transfer RNA (tRNA) molecules are approximately 80 nucleotides in length.
Source: RNAcentral